Molecule: ribosomal RNA, 497 nt
Filed under: uncultured bacterium
Lineage: Bacteria
Description: partial 16S ribosomal RNA
Rfam family: Bacterial small subunit ribosomal RNA
Source: RNAcentral
GAUGAACGCUGGCGGCGUGCCUAAUACAUGCAAGUCGAGCGAACAGACGAGGAGCUUGCUCCUCUGACGUUAGCGGCGGACGGGUGAGUAACACGUGGAUAACCUACCUAUAAGCCUGGGAUAACUUCGGGAAACCGGAGCUAAUACCGGAUAAUAUAUUGACCCGCAUGGUUCAAUAGUGAAAGACGGUUUUGCUGUCACUUAUAGAUGGAUCCGCGCCGCAUUAGCUAGUUGGUAAGGUAACGGCUUACCAAGGCAACGAUGCGUAGCCGACCUGAGAGGGUGGUCGGCCACACUGGAACUGAGACACGGUCCAGACUCCUACGGAAGGCAGCAGUAGGGAAUCUUCCGCAAUGGGCGAAAGCCUGACGGAGCAACGCCGCGUGAAUGAUGAAGGUCUUCGGUUCGUAAAACUCUGUUAUUAGGGAAGAACAAAUGUGUAAGUAACUAUGCACGUCUUGACGGUACCUAAUCAGAAAGCCACGGCUAACUACGUG